AUUUCCUAACGGUUCUGGCUCAGAGACAGACGACACGGAGACGUUGCUUGGCGGGCACAGCUACUUGAAGGUCUGACUGGACUCCACCGCGACAAGACCAGAAGUUUAAAUGGAAAACGGCUGAUCAAGAAAAUGUGAGAGACGGGACAGGAAUGUGUGAGAAAGAGGGGAGGACACCAACAAAGGACAGCAGGCCAUAUUCAACUCAGGUCACAGUGGAAAGGACUGAGCCUCAGGACACUACACUAGCCACCGAGGCUCCCUGAUUUGUAUCAAUCUUUAAGGUCAAGGCAGAGUUUCAACGAAUUACCACCGCAAAUCUUGAGGCAAAAUUCAUGUCAAUGUUGGACCUUUACUCUCCUAAACUGCUUUCCAUCUUCCAAGCCAAGAAAGGUGCUGCUGGAGAGAGACAUCGUGCAGAAAUGAAUACUCUGCUCCAGAGCGGAAAUUCCAUUCAGAAAACCAGAGAAGUUGUCCUCCGAUGUCUCAUCGAUCACCUUGGUGAAGACGUGAGUGCCUUAAUCAAGACUUUUGAGAAUGUUAAUACAGCUGUCGAUGUGGAAGAAGAGCUGGCAGCACAGGUGAUGGCUGUGAACCUGGUCCGGAAUGAAUGUGGACAGGUCGAUGAUGUUGGGAUCGUCAUUGAAGGUUCCACUGUACUCAGCCAUCUUGGAGAUCUCAGCAGAGCCUGUUGCUACCUGCUAGGACUGACCUAUGCUUUGGAUCUGAAAUACCCCAAAACUCUUAAAUACAUUUUUGAGGUAUUUCAAAAGAUGCUUGUGGAAGUGGAUUCCGGAAAGCUUUCAGCAAAGGUGCAAAGAUUGACAAACAGUAUGGUCAUGUAGUUGCUGAGAGGAAGCUGUUCAGAUGAGAACAUGUGACUCAUACCCAAUUGAGCCAUGUGUGGAAUGUGAUAUAUGACUGUUAAUAUUGAAGUUAUGUACAGAAACCUGGACAAUCUAAAGCGCCAUUUAAUCAGAUGAUCUCCAGGUGUGGUCAGGCUCACAGUGUUGGAAAGAUUUCAGUGUGUUUUGAGUCAACAUUGUACACCUUCCAUUGAUAAGCCUUUAUCUUUCUUUUUUCCCAUGUAUAAGCCAUUAAGCAUGAUUUCAGUUUACAGGAAAUUUCCCUACAAAUGUCUUAAAUGCAUUUGAAGUUCAAAGUAUCUUGAAUUGUUAGAAAUACGGAAGUCUUUAAAAAAGCAUGUCCAAUACAGAUGACAGAAGAGUUAGACUAAAGUAAAUCAUUUAGAUUUUGCCAAAAAGUUGUCAAAUAAAAUGUCCAUGUUUUGUGA
Molecule: long non-coding RNA, 1294 nt
Organism: Hypomesus transpacificus
Lineage: Eukaryota; Metazoa; Chordata; Actinopteri; Osmeriformes; Osmeridae
Exons: 6
Source: RefSeq, a predicted model, not a curated record